UGGGAUUAGUAUGGUUGAGGACCAG
This 25-nucleotide non-coding RNA is filed under the name Mus musculus (house mouse). Lineage: Eukaryota; Metazoa; Chordata; Mammalia; Rodentia; Muridae. The record is from RNAcentral.